RNAcentral lists this ribosomal RNA (548 nucleotides) under uncultured bacterium. RNAcentral describes it as "partial 16S ribosomal RNA". It matches the Rfam family "Bacterial small subunit ribosomal RNA", at positions 355 to 922 of the family's 1533-position model. The record is from RNAcentral.
UGGGGAAUAUUGCACAAUGGGCGAAAGCCUGAUGCAGCAACGCCGCGUGAGUGAUGAAGGCCUUCGGGUUGUAAAGCUCUGUCUUUUGGGACGAUAAUGACGGUACCAAAGGAGGAAGCCACGGCUAACUACGUGCCAGCAGCCGCGGUAAUACGUAGGUGGCAAGCGUUGUCCGGAAUUAUUGGGCGUAAAGAGCGCGUAGGCGGGAUAGUCAGUCUGUUGUAAAAGUGCGGGGCUCAACCCCGUGAUGGCAAUGGAAACAGCUAUUCUUGAGUGCAGGAGAGGAAAGUGGAAUUCCCAGUGUAGCGGUGAAAUGCGUAGAUAUUGGGAGGAACACCAGUGGCGAAGGCGACUUUCUGGACUGUGUCUGACGCUGAGGCCGAAAGCCAGGGGAGCGAACGGAUUAGAUACCCCGGUAGUCCUGGCGUAAACGAUGGGUACUAGGUGUGGGAGGUAUCGACCCCUUCCGUGCCGGAGUUAACGCAAUAAGUACCCCGCCUGGGGAGUACGGUCGCAAGACUGAAACUCAAAGGAAUUGACGGGGUCAU